UGUGGGAGCGGGCUUGCCCGCGAUGGCGGCCUACCAGUCGACAUUUAUGGUGAUUGACACACCGCUAUCGCGGGCAAGCCCGCUCCCACA
This 90-nucleotide unclassified non-coding RNA is filed under the name Pseudomonas gessardii. Lineage: Bacteria; Pseudomonadati; Pseudomonadota; Gammaproteobacteria; Pseudomonadales; Pseudomonadaceae. The record is from RNAcentral.